RNAcentral lists this ribosomal RNA (1489 nucleotides) under uncultured Bordetella sp. RNAcentral describes it as "partial 16S-23S ribosomal RNA intergenic spacer". It matches the Rfam family "Bacterial small subunit ribosomal RNA". Lineage: Bacteria; Pseudomonadati; Pseudomonadota; Betaproteobacteria; Burkholderiales; Alcaligenaceae. The record is from RNAcentral.
AGUUCGAUUCUGGCUCAGAUUGAACGCUGGCGGGAUGCUUUUACACAUGCAAGUCGAACGGCGGCACGGACUUCGGUCUGGUGGCGAGUGGCGAACGGGUGAGUAAUGUAUCGGAACGUGCCUAGUAGCGGAGGGAUAACUACGCGAAAGCGUAGCUAAUACCGCAUACGCCCUUCGGGGGAAAGCGGGGGACCUUCGGGCCUCGCACUAUUGAAGCGGCCGAUAUCGGAUUAGCUAGUUGGUGGGGAAUUAACGGCUCACCAAGGCGACGAUCCGUAGCUGGUUUGAGAGGACGACCAGCCACACUGGGACUGAGACACGGCCCAGACUCCUACGGGAGGCAGCAGUGGGGAAUUUUGGACAAUGGGGGAAACCCUGAUCCAGCCAUCCCGCGUGUGCGAUGAAGGCCUUCGGGUUGUAAAGCACUUUUGGCGGGAAGAAAACGGCACGGGAUAAUACCCCGUGCAACUGACAGUACCUGCAGAAUAGCCUCGGCCUAACUACGUGCCAGCAGCCGCGGUAAUACGUAAGUGCAAGCGUUAAUCGGAAUUACUGGGCGUAAAGCGUGCGCAGGCGGUUCGGAAAGAAAGAUGUGAAAUCCCAGAGCUUAACUUACAAGAACUGCAUUUUUUAACUACCGAGCUAGAGAGUGUGUCAGAGGGAGGUGGAAUUCCGCGUGUAGCAGUGAAAUGCGUAGAUAUGCGGAGGAACACCGAUGGCGAAGGCAGCCUCCUGGGAUAACACUGACGCUCAUGCACGAAAGCGUGGGGGAGCAAACAGGAUUAGAUACCUGGUAGUCCACGCCCUAAACGAUGUCAACUAGCUGUUGGGGCCUUCGGGCCUUGGUAGCGCAGCUAACGCGUGAAGUUGACCGCCUGGGGAGUACGGUCGCAAGAUUAAAACUCAAAGGUGUGAGGACCCGCACAAGCGGUGGAUGAUGUGGAUUAAUUCGAUGCAACGCGAAAAACCUUACCUACCCUUGACAUGUCUGGAAUCCCGAAGAGAUUUGGGAGUGCUCGCAAGAGAACCGGAACACAGGUGCUGCAUGGCUGUCGUCAGCUCGUGUCGUGAGAUGUUGGGUUAAGUCCCGCAACGAGCGCAACCCUUGUCAUUAGUUGCUACGAAGGGCACUCUAAUGAGACUGCCGGUGACAAACCGGAGGAAGGUGGGGAUGACGUCAAGUCCUCAUGGCCCUUAUGGGUAGGGCUUCACACGUCAUACAGUGGUCGGACAGAGGGGUCGCCGAUGCCCGAAGACAAUCCCGAAACCCAGUCGUAGUCCCGGAUCUACAGUCUUGCAGCCUCGACGCGUGAAGUCGGAAUCGCUAGUAAUCGCGGAUCGGCAUGUCGCGGUGAAUGCGUUCCCGGGUCUUGUACACACCGCCCGUCACACCAUGGGAGUGGGUUUUACCAGAAGUAGUUAGCCUAACCGUAAGGAGGGCGAUUACCACAUUAGGAUUCAUGACUGGGGUGAAGUCGUAACAAGGUAA